RNAcentral lists this ribosomal RNA (3413 nucleotides) under Triticum aestivum (bread wheat). RNAcentral describes it as "partial small subunit ribosomal RNA". The record is from RNAcentral. Lineage: Eukaryota; Viridiplantae; Streptophyta; Magnoliopsida; Poales; Poaceae.
AGACAAGGUGCAAGACAAUAGACAAGAUACAAUUCAAGUGUCAACAACCAUUUUAUGUAGCAUCCAAGGUCUACAGGUGUGAAGGGGGAUGCAAGAAUAGGGGCAUGAUACAAGUCAGGUUCUGAAACAAUUCGUUAGAGGGGGCAAUUUCUGCAAGUAGUAGAUCAAGGAUAGGUACAGAUAGGGAAAUCCACAAGUUCUAGAACUAAGUUCAUGGAGAAAACAAAUUGGAACAACAUGUUAUCUUUUGCUGUUCACACAGGAGAAAUUUGCCAAGCUUUGGCAAUUUUUUUGCCUACAAUCUCCAGAUUUUUUGCCUGACCAGCAAGAAAGAGUUGCAGACACAAUUGCGUUUUCCAGGAUUUUUUGCUUUGAUUUUCGCCUUCUUUUACUCUGUUUUUUCGCUGCUGUGGUACGGGUGCUGAUCAGGUGGAGCGUGGGGUUUUCUGAUGGUGUGUUGGGAGAGGUGGUGGGGAAUCACGUGAGGCAGAGAGGGCGUUGGCUGUCGGGACGCGGCAACGACAGGGGAAGGAGAACCUGCCUUUUUUGAAGCACAUGGGCCGGGACCGAGAGAAGGACUUUCCUUAACUGCCGGCCACGAGAUGCGCACGCAUAGCGCGCAGCGCCCAAAAAAAAGGUACCGACCGUGGUUUGAGAAUCACGGGGAUGCUGGCGCUGAAGCGGCUCAUGAACAGCCAACAGCGGGAGAGGCGGCGCCGUCGCAGACUCCAAGCUCGUGAUGGAUCGAUUACUUCUACAUCCAAAAGAGACGACUGGCUUCUCUGUCGAGAAGAUGGUAAAUCUCUUCUUUGUGGUAAGCGAUUGAGAGAUUCAGUGUCAAACCUCCCACAGGUAUGUUACAGUAUAACAUAUUGGUUGCAGGGGACUUAUAUUGCAAGUAAAAUAUCACUUUGUUCUAACUACACAAAUUGAUGUCGACCUAAGUUUGGUAGCUAUAAGGCCACUUGCAAUGCAUAGUGUCAUGUAGCCGUAUCAUAGUGCAUGAUACUACUUUAGUGCAUGAUACUACUUUAGUUUGUACAAUCACAUUACAUAGUAUCGUACACUGGUGUUACAUUGUCAUUUCAUUUAUUUAUUGUGGAAUCCGUCGCAUUAACCAUUUGCCCUUAUGACCCAAAUGAUGAUCGAUCUUUCAUGCUUCUGCAGGACAUCUGGUGCCACAUACAUUCUCUGAUGCCAAUGCAAGAUUCUGCUCGUUCUGCUUGUGUAUCACAUGCAUUUCUAGAUUCAUGGAGACACCAUCCGAACCUCAUCUUAAAUAAGAAAACGCUGGGCUUGGAACAAAAUGCAUGUGGAAAGGGUGAUAUGGCGAGGGCUUUCACUAGCAAAGUUGACCAGAUUCUGAAAAACCACUCACACACUGCCACGAAGAUACUCAAGCUUGACAUGUUUGAUUGUCACGAUUUCUACAUUUCUUGUCUCAAUAAUUGGCUUGAGAUUGCUAUUACACCAGGGAUUGAAAAACUGGUCCUUUUUCUGCCUUCGGGAUACCAAGAAGUGUACACCUUCCCAUGCUCACGUUUAUUUGGUCAGAAUGGAAGCUCACUUCGGUAUCUUCAUCUCAAUUACUGCACCUUCCGUCCUACAGUUGGAUUUGGUUUCUUGAGAAGCUUAACAAAGCUGUAUUUGCGUAAUGUGAGGAUUACAGGGGGAGAGUUAGGGUGCCUUCUUUCUAAUUCUUUGGCUUUGCAGCGGUUGGAACUCAGGUAUUGCAGUGAAAUAAUCUGCCUGAAGAUACCAUGCGUGCUGGAGCGACUAAGCUGCCUCACUGUUUCUGCAUGCAAUGCGCUGCAAAUUGUUGAGAGCAAUGCUCCGAACCUCUCCACCUUCAACUUUGAUGGCGACAUAGUACAGCGCUCUCUCAGACAACCAUUGCAAGUUAAGGACCUAUAUAUGAUAUGUCCAAAUGAGUCAAACCUUCUCUGCUACGCUAUUACCAAGCUUCCAUAUGUUGUGUCAAACAUUGAAGAUCUUAGAUUGUCUUCAAUUAGUGGUGAGAGGGUUAAUACACCGAUGCCAGCUGCGAAAUUCCUCCACCUCAAGUUCUUGGAAAUUUAUCUUGAUGGAGAUCUUUCCCCAGGAUAUGAUUAUUUGUCUUUGGUUUCUUUUCUCGAUGCUUCUCCUGCUUUGGAGACUUUCAUCUUCCGUGUGGAUCAGGAUGAAAUGCUGUUUGAUUCGAUUUCGGGGGGUGCCUUACAAAUGAGGAAGAUGCCUGAACACAAGCAUGACAGCCUCAAGAAUGUGAAGAUUCUUGGCUUCUGCUCUGCAAAGAGCAUGGUUGAGCUAACAUGCCAUAUUCUAGAGAAUGCUACAUCACUGGAAUGUAUCACCUUGGACACCAUAUAUGAUGCAGAAGACGAAGACUUUGUCGGUAGAUGUUCUGAAACUUCUGCAUGGAGAUCCGAACCUGGCAAGCCGUAUAGGAGAAGUGCAAGAGUUACAAGUCACUCUGCCUAAUGGGUUUAUAGCAGAGUUAAUUCAGGUGAGAGUUAAGCUGGAUGUGCAUAAGAAAUUAACCUCGGUAGUGAGAUUUACAAAGGCUGGGAGACAGAAAAGUAUAAGGUGAAAUUUGAAAAACUUCCAACCUUUUGCCAUGCCUGCGGUAUAAUUGGACACUCGCAUGAAGAGUGCGGAUCAGGUGAGCACGAUGUAACCAAAUUUGGAUGGGGUCCAUUUUUAUUAGCUCAUCGUAGAGGCAAUGGAGGUAGUUGAGGACUACCAUUUCAAGUUUGCCAUCCUCAUUCUUCUUUUGUGGGGAAUUAUCAUCCGACAAUGAGUCCUCAGAGAACAAAUCAAUGAGAGAGUUUAUCUAUAAUGCAGAAAUCCUUUGGGACAUUAAAGAAAUGUGCGAGCUAAUUCGUCGAAUACCUUGGGGAUGAAAAAAAGCAUCGACGAAGCAGCAUGUGUUGGGAAACGUAUUAGAAAACAAAGAAAAUGCGCCCUACGAUCAAACAGGAACCUAUGAAGAUGUGGUUUGGAUCAGAUCGUUACCAACUCCGAGUUGCAGCGGAAGAAGAGUCGGUGUAGAUCGCACUUGAAGUCACUCGAACCCUGGAUGAACGAUUCCGCAAACUGCUCACGAACAGUCACUCGAAUGGAAGACCAAAAGCAUGCCCUCUCCACGGUUUGCAAGCAUACAGUCUUCAAGAUCCGGCAACGCUUCACCGUCCAGAACUAAUCAUCGCCGGAGAAUUAGAGGGAGGAGAUUAGAACCACGAUGUGCUUCUAAUUAUGAGGAUUAGAGGAUCUAUAUCUAGCUCUAAUUGAAACAAUUAGAACUAGAGGAGGCUCCAAAAACUUAUGUAUUCAAAAGUGCCUAUAACCUCUACUUCCUCCAUUUUUGUAUACAAGGCCACUAUCAAAAUUACAAUUUGCAGCUAUACAAGGCCACU